AAAAAGGUGGCACAGGGGAAGCGCGUGGGGCUCAUAACCCCAAGGUUGUAAGAUCAAAACCUACUUUUGCUA
Non-coding RNA from Entomophthora muscae, 72 nucleotides. The record is from the annotation of a GenBank genome assembly. NCBI's taxonomy places the organism in Eukaryota, Fungi, Entomophthoromycota, Entomophthoromycetes, Entomophthorales, Entomophthoraceae.